GUCUCAGGCUGGAUCAGCCUGAAGGCGCCCGAUCUCGUCUGAUCUCGGAAGUCUAAGCAGGGUCGGGCCUGGUUAGUAUCUUGGAUGGGAGACCACCUGGGAAUCCCGGGUGCUCGAGGCU
Molecule: ribosomal RNA, 121 nt
Filed under: Bison bison bison
Lineage: Eukaryota; Metazoa; Chordata; Mammalia; Artiodactyla; Bovidae
Source: RNAcentral